UACAGAGGUCUCAAGCGUUGUUCGGAUUCAUUGGGCGUAAAGGGUGCGUAGGUGGCGCUGUAAGUCGGGUGUGAAAUUUCGGAGCUUAACUCCGAAACUGCAUUCGAUACUGCGGUGCUUGAGGACUGGAGAGGAGACUGGAAUUUACGGUGUAGCAGUGAAAUGCGUAGAUAUCGUAAGGAAGACCAGUGGCGAAGGCGGAUCUCUGGACAGUUACUGACACUGAGGCACGAAGGCCAGGGGAGCAGACGGG
Molecule: ribosomal RNA, 253 nt
Filed under: uncultured bacterium
Lineage: Bacteria
Description: partial 16S ribosomal RNA
Rfam family: Bacterial small subunit ribosomal RNA
Source: RNAcentral